This 218-nucleotide ribosomal RNA is filed under the name uncultured Bacteroidota bacterium. Its description in RNAcentral is "uncultured Bacteroidetes bacterium partial 16S ribosomal RNA". It matches the Rfam family "Bacterial small subunit ribosomal RNA", at positions 469 to 686 of the family's 1533-position model. The record is from RNAcentral. Lineage: Bacteria; Pseudomonadati; Bacteroidota.
UUGUAUGUACUUUACGAAUAAGGAUCGGCUAACUCCGUGCCAGCAGCCGCGGUAAUACGGAGGAUCCGAGCGUUAUCCGGAUUUAUUGGGUUUAAAGGGUGCGUAGGCGGACCCAUAAGUCAGUGGUGAAAGUUUGCAGCUCAACUGUAAAAUUGCCAUUGAAACUGUGUGUCUUGAGUGUAAAUGAGGUAGGCGGAAUGUGUUGUGUAGCGGUGAAA